GCCUGAUCCAGCCAUACCGCGUGGGUGAAGAAGGCCUUCGGGUUGUAAAGCCCUUUUGUUGGGAAAGAAAUCCAGCCGGUUAAUACCUGGUUGGGAUGACGGUACCCAAAGAAUAAGCACCGGCUAACUUCGUGCCAGCAGCCGCGGUAAUACGAAGGGUGCAAGCGUUACUCGGAAUUACUGGGCGUAAAGCGUGCGUAGGUGGUUGUUUAAGUCUGUUGUGAAAGCCCUGGGCUCAACCUGGGAACUGCAGUGGAAACUGGACGACUAGAGUGUGGUAGAGGGUAGCGGAAUUCCUGGUGUAGCAGUGAAAUGCGUAGAGAUCAGGAGGAACAUCCAUGGCGAAGGCAGCUACCUGGACCAACACUGACACUGAGGCACGAAAGCGUGGGGAGCAAACAGGAUUAGAUACCCUGGUAGUCCACGCCCUAAACGAUGCGAACUGGAUGUUGGGUGCAAUUUGGCACGCAGUAUCGAAGCUAACGCGUUAAGUUCGCCGCCUGGGGAGUACGGUCGCAAGACUGAAACUCAAAGGAAUUGACGGGGGCCCGCACAAGCGGUGGAGUAUGUGGUUUAAUUCGAUGCAACGCGAAGAACCUUACCUGGCCUUGACAUGUCGAGAACUUUCCAGAG
This 633-nucleotide ribosomal RNA is filed under the name Stenotrophomonas sp. Se1Pt_361. RNAcentral describes it as "bacterial SSU rRNA". It matches the Rfam family "Bacterial small subunit ribosomal RNA", at positions 381 to 1005 of the family's 1533-position model. Lineage: Bacteria; Pseudomonadati; Pseudomonadota; Gammaproteobacteria; Lysobacterales; Lysobacteraceae. The record is from RNAcentral.